GAGGGUAUAGCUCAAGUGGUAGAGCUCAUGCUUGGCAUGCAUGAGGUCCUGGUUCAAUCCCCAGUACCUCCU
This 72-nucleotide transfer RNA is filed under the name Camelus bactrianus (Bactrian camel). It matches the Rfam family "tRNA". Rfam says of the family: Transfer RNA (tRNA) molecules are approximately 80 nucleotides in length. Their secondary structure includes four short double-helical elements and three loops (D, anti-codon, and T loops). Further hydrogen bonds mediate the characteristic L-shaped molecular structure. tRNAs have two regions of fundamental functional importance: the anti-codon, which is responsible for specific mRNA codon recognition, and the 3' end, to which the tRNAs corresponding amino acid is attached (by aminoacyl-tRNA synthetases). tRNAs cope with the degeneracy of the genetic code in two manners: having more than one tRNA (with a specific anti-codon) for a particular amino acid; and 'wobble' base-pairing, i.e. permitting non-standard base-pairing at the 3rd anti-codon position. RNAcentral also lists the same sequence under 2 other names. The record is from Rfam by way of RNAcentral. Lineage: Eukaryota; Metazoa; Chordata; Mammalia; Artiodactyla; Camelidae.